This 2904-nucleotide ribosomal RNA is filed under the name Escherichia coli 99.0741. Its description in RNAcentral is "bacterial LSU rRNA". It matches the Rfam family "Bacterial large subunit ribosomal RNA". Lineage: Bacteria; Pseudomonadati; Pseudomonadota; Gammaproteobacteria; Enterobacterales; Enterobacteriaceae. The record is from RNAcentral.
GGUUAAGCGACUAAGCGUACACGGUGGAUGCCCUGGCAGUCAGAGGCGAUGAAGGACGUGCUAAUCUGCGAUAAGCGUCGGUAAGGUGAUAUGAACCGUUAUAACCGGCGAUUUCCGAAUGGGGAAACCCAGUGUGAUUCGUCACACUAUCAUUAACUGAAUCCAUAGGUUAAUGAGGCGAACCGGGGGAACUGAAACAUCUAAGUACCCCGAGGAAAAGAAAUCAACCGAGAUUCCCCCAGUAGCGGCGAGCGAACGGGGAGCAGCCCAGAGCCUGAAUCAGUGUGUGUGUUAGUGGAAGCGUCUGGAAAGGCGCGCGAUACAGGGUGACAGCCCCGUACACAAAAAUGCACAUGCUGUGAGCUCGAUGAGUAGGGCGGGACACGUGGUAUCCUGUCUGAAUAUGGGGGGACCAUCCUCCAAGGCUAAAUACUCCUGACUGACCGAUAGUGAACCAGUACCGUGAGGGAAAGGCGAAAAGAACCCCGGCGAGGGGAGUGAAAAAGAACCUGAAACCGUGUACGUACAAGCAGUGGGAGCACGCUUAGGCGUGUGACUGCGUACCUUUUGUAUAAUGGGUCAGCGACUUAUAUUCUGUAGCAAGGUUAACCGAAUAGGGGAGCCGAAGGGAAACCGAGUCUUAACUGGGCGUUAAGUUGCAGGGUAUAGACCCGAAACCCGGUGAUCUAGCCAUGGGCAGGUUGAAGGUUGGGUAACACUAACUGGAGGACCGAACCGACUAAUGUUGAAAAAUUAGCGGAUGACUUGUGGCUGGGGGUGAAAGGCCAAUCAAACCGGGAGAUAGCUGGUUCUCCCCGAAAGCUAUUUAGGUAGCGCCUCGUGAAUUCAUCUCCGGGGGUAGAGCACUGUUUCGGCAAGGGGGUCAUCCCGACUUACCAACCCGAUGCAAACUGCGAAUACCGGAGAAUGUUAUCACGGGAGACACACGGCGGGUGCUAACGUCCGUCGUGAAGAGGGAAACAACCCAGACCGCCAGCUAAGGUCCCAAAGUCAUGGUUAAGUGGGAAACGAUGUGGGAAGGCCCAGACAGCCAGGAUGUUGGCUUAGAAGCAGCCAUCAUUUAAAGAAAGCGUAAUAGCUCACUGGUCGAGUCGGCCUGCGCGGAAGAUGUAACGGGGCUAAACCAUGCACCGAAGCUGCGGCAGCGACACUGUGUGUUGUUGGGUAGGGGAGCGUUCUGUAAGCCUGCGAAGGUGUGCUGUGAGGCAUGCUGGAGGUAUCAGAAGUGCGAAUGCUGACAUAAGUAACGAUAAAGCGGGUGAAAAGCCCGCUCGCCGGAAGACCAAGGGUUCCUGUCCAACGUUAAUCGGGGCAGGGUGAGUCGACCCCUAAGGCGAGGCCGAAAGGCGUAGUCGAUGGGAAACAGGUUAAUAUUCCUGUACUUGGUGUUACUGCGAAGGGGGGACGGAGAAGGCUAUGUUGGCCGGGCGACGGUUGUCCCGGUUUAAGCGUGUAGGCUGGUUUUCCAGGCAAAUCCGGAAAAUCAAGGCUGAGGCGUGAUGACGAGGCACUACGGUGCUGAAGCAACAAAUGCCCUGCUUCCAGGAAAAGCCUCUAAGCAUCAGGUAACAUCAAAUCGUACCCCAAACCGACACAGGUGGUCAGGUAGAGAAUACCAAGGCGCUUGAGAGAACUCGGGUGAAGGAACUAGGCAAAAUGGUGCCGUAACUUCGGGAGAAGGCACGCUGAUAUGUAGGUGAAGUCCCUCGCGGAUGGAGCUGAAAUCAGUCGAAGAUACCAGCUGGCUGCAACUGUUUAUUAAAAACACAGCACUGUGCAAACACGAAAGUGGACGUAUACGGUGUGACGCCUGCCCGGUGCCGGAAGGUUAAUUGAUGGGGUCAGCGCAAGCGAAGCUCUUGAUCGAAGCCCCGGUAAACGGCGGCCGUAACUAUAACGGUCCUAAGGUAGCGAAAUUCCUUGUCGGGUAAGUUCCGACCUGCACGAAUGGCGUAAUGAUGGCCAGGCUGUCUCCACCCGAGACUCAGUGAAAUUGAACUCGCUGUGAAGAUGCAGUGUACCCGCGGCAAGACGGAAAGACCCCGUGAACCUUUACUAUAGCUUGACACUGAACAUUGAGCCUUGAUGUGUAGGAUAGGUGGGAGGCUUUGAAGUGUGGACGCCAGUCUGCAUGGAGCCGACCUUGAAAUACCACCCUUUAAUGUUUGAUGUUCUAACGUUGACCCGUGAUCCGGGUUGCGGACAGUGUCUGGUGGGUAGUUUGACUGGGGCGGUCUCCUCCUAAAGAGUAACGGAGGAGCACGAAGGUUGGCUAAUCCUGGUCGGACAUCAGGAGGUUAGUGCAAUGGCAUAAGCCAGCUUGACUGCGAGCGUGACGGCGCGAGCAGGUGCGAAAGCAGGUCAUAGUGAUCCGGUGGUUCUGAAUGGAAGGGCCAUCGCUCAACGGAUAAAAGGUACUCCGGGGAUAACAGGCUGAUACCGCCCAAGAGUUCAUAUCGACGGCGGUGUUUGGCACCUCGAUGUCGGCUCAUCACAUCCUGGGGCUGAAGUAGGUCCCAAGGGUAUGGCUGUUCGCCAUUUAAAGUGGUACGCGAGCUGGGUUUAGAACGUCGUGAGACAGUUCGGUCCCUAUCUGCCGUGGGCGCUGGAGAACUGGAGGGGGGCUGCUCCUAGUACGAGAGGACCGGAGUGGACGCAUCACUGGUGUUCGGGUUGUCAUGCCAAUGGCACUGCCCGGUAGCUAAAUGCGGAAGAGAUAAGUGCUGAAAGCAUCUAAGCACGAAACUUGCCCCGAGAUGAGUUCUCCCUGACUCCUUGAGAGUCCUGAAGGAACGUUGAAGACGACGACGUUGAUAGGCCGGGUGUGUAAGCGCAGCGAUGCGUUGAGCUAACCGGUACUAAUGAACCGUGAGGCUUAACCUU